CUCCGCCUCAGGGUCUGAGGCUGCGAAAGGGGCGUAACGAUGAGUGGUUCCUGCCAGAGGUCUGGGGAGGAUAAAAAGCAGGAGGAAGAGGCGACGGCGGCCUGUGGACGUCUUGCAGGGGUCCCCGAGGCCAAGCAGGGUCCCAAGGCCGAUUCAGACUCCGACCUAGAGACGGAAGGCACCCAUGGACUUGGAGAACUGGUCGGGGACACCCUGUACCUGAGGUCUUGCUGGAUCCAUAGCAUUGUGCCCAUCUUCUGCUUUCUGUGCCAAGGGAGUGCCCCAGAGCUGAACCUGCUGCACGGGGGCCUGAGGCCCCAGAUGUGGACCUGUCGGAGAAGCAGCUGGGAGUGGCAGGAGCCCAGGCCCUCUGUGCCGCCCUCACAGUGAACCAGGCCAUGCGGAAGAUGCAGCUGUCAGGGAAUGGCCUGGAGGAGCAGGCGGCCCAGCACCUUGAUGAACUCCUGCUGGCCCACACAGACCUGAAGUCCCUGGACCUGAGCUACAACCAGCUGAAUGACCAAGCAGGUAACGCCUGCGCAGGGCACCAUGG
Molecule: long non-coding RNA, 553 nt
Filed under: Pan troglodytes (chimpanzee)
Lineage: Eukaryota; Metazoa; Chordata; Mammalia; Primates; Hominidae
Description: long non-coding RNA NONPTRT009704
Source: RNAcentral